This 238-nucleotide long non-coding RNA is filed under the name Salvia miltiorrhiza (redroot sage). RNAcentral's name for it is "long non-coding RNA (SMIL_LNC003817)". Lineage: Eukaryota; Viridiplantae; Streptophyta; Magnoliopsida; Lamiales; Lamiaceae. The record is from RNAcentral.
UAAAUUUUAAACUAACACUUUAAAAUAAAAAACGGUUCCAUGGUUCGAACCAGGAAUCGACGGUUUGGAACCGGAACCGCUGGUUCACAGUUCGAACCGAAACCGUGAGGACCAAUAUUCAGUCCGGUUUUAGUUCCAGAUUUUGGAACCGUGAAGCGGUGGUUCGGUUUCGUUUCGAAUCGGGAACCGGACCGUGGGAACCCUCUAGCCAAAUUUUUUGGAUGUCAAAACUAGUCUU